Molecule: long non-coding RNA, 439 nt
Organism: Oncorhynchus keta (chum salmon)
Lineage: Eukaryota; Metazoa; Chordata; Actinopteri; Salmoniformes; Salmonidae
Exons: 3
Source: RefSeq, a predicted model, not a curated record
AAACACUAGAGUUAUUUAUACUGAGACUCAGAUAACUACCAGGUAGUAAGAAAACACUAGAGUUAUUUAUACUGAGACUCAGAGGACUACCAGGUAGUAAGAAAACACUAGAGUUAUUCAUACUGAGACUCAGAGGACUACCAGGUAGUAAGAAAACACUAGAGUUAUUUAUACUGAGACUCAGAGGACUACCAGGAAGUAAGAAAACACUAGAGUUAUUCAUACUGAGACUCAGAGGACUACCAGGAAGUAAGAAAACACUAGAGUUAUUCAUACUGAGACUCAGAGGACUACCAGGUAGUAAGAAAACACUAGAGUUAUUUAUACUGAGACUCAGAGGACUACCAGGAAGUAAGAAAACACUAGAGUUAUUCAUACUGAGACUCAGAGGACUACCAGGUAGUAAGAAAACACUAGAGUUAUUUAUACUGAGACUCAG